RNAcentral lists this ribosomal RNA (280 nucleotides) under uncultured bacterium. RNAcentral's name for it is "partial 16S ribosomal RNA". It matches the Rfam family "Bacterial small subunit ribosomal RNA", at positions 74 to 354 of the family's 1533-position model. The record is from RNAcentral.
CCUGCCGUUGCCGGCGACCGGCGCACGGGUGAGUAACACGUAUGCAACCUGCCCGUGGCAGGGGGAUAAGCGGGGGAAACCCCGUCUAAUACCGCGUAACGCGGCCUUGGGGCAUCCCAAGGCCGCCAAAGGGAGCAAUCCCGGCCACGGAUGGGCAUGCGGCGCAUUAGCUAGUCGGCGGGGUAACGGCCCACCGAGGCGACGAUGCGUAGGGGUUCUGAGAGGAAGGCCCCCCACACUGGUACUGAGACACGGACCAGACUCCUACGGAAGGCAGCAG